RNAcentral lists this ribosomal RNA (486 nucleotides) under uncultured bacterium. RNAcentral describes it as "bacterial SSU rRNA". It matches the Rfam family "Bacterial small subunit ribosomal RNA", at positions 28 to 507 of the family's 1533-position model. The record is from RNAcentral.
GAUGAACGCUAGCGAUAGGCUUAACACAUGCAAGUCGAGGGGCAGCACGGACUAGCAAUAGUUUGGUGGCGACCGGCGCACGGGUGCGUAACACGUAUGCAACCUUCCCAUAAGCGGGGGAUAACCCGGAGAAAUUCGGACUAAUACCGCAUAACAUAUAAUAGUGGCAUCACUAUUAUCUUAAAGAUUUAUCACUUAUGGAUGGGCAUGCGCAUGAUUAGCUAGUUGGUAGGGUAAUGGCUUACCAAGGCAACGAUCAUUAGGGGUUCUGAGAGGAAGGUCCCCCACACUGGUACUGAGACACGGACCAGACUCCUACGGGAGGCAGCAGUGAGGAAUAUUGGUCAAUGGGCGAGAGCCUGAACCAGCCAAGUCGCGUGAAGGAAGACUGUCCUAUGGAUUGUAAACUUCUUUUAUACAGGAAUAAAGUGGGUUACGUGUAACCUUUUGCAUGUACUGUAUGAAUAAGGAUCGGCUAACUCCGUG